UCAAUUUUCGCCACCAAAACUAUCUUAUAAAAGGAAGCUCUUUUCCAGGUUAUUGUUAAACAUGGCUAAAAUGGAAAAACACUGAAUUUCUCCACUUCAAAUUGAUCUAAACAUUCCUUUGGAUGAGCAUGUCGGUGGAGAACAACUACCUGAUCUUAUUGAAGAUGCAUUUCCCGACCUCAAUCUUAUUCCCGAUGAAGAAGAUGACACACAACUGAGUGGAGAAUUGCAAGCAUCACUAGAAGAACGAACCAUAAAUUCUGAGGCAAAUGAAGAACUAUCACAACCAAAGA
This is a long non-coding RNA of Nicotiana attenuata, 293 nucleotides long. RefSeq lists it as uncharacterized. Lineage: Eukaryota; Viridiplantae; Streptophyta; Magnoliopsida; Solanales; Solanaceae. The record is from RefSeq and is a predicted model, not a curated record. The transcript has 2 exons.